GACGAACGCUGGCGGCGUGCCUAAUACAUGCAAGUCGAGCGGACCGGCUUGGGGCUUGCCUUGAUUCGGUCAGCGGCGGACGGGUGAGUAACACGUGGGCAACCUGCCCGCAAGACCGGGAUAACUCCGGGAAACCGGAGCUAAUACCGGAUAACACCGAAGACCGCAUGGUCUUCGGUUGAAAGGCGGCCUUUGGGCUGUCACUUGCGGAUGGGCCCGCGGCGCAUUAGCUAGUUGGUGAGGUAACGGCUCACCAAGGCGACGUUGCGUAGCCGGCCGGGGAGGGUGACCGGCCACACUGGGACGGAGACACGGCCCAGACUCCUACGGGAGGCAGCAGUAGGGAAUCUGCCGCAAGGGGCGAAAGCCUGACGGAGCGGCGCCGCGUGAGCGAGGAAGGCCUUCGGGUCGGAAAGCUCUGUUGUGAGGGACGAAGGAGCGUCGUUCUAAGAGGGCGGCGCGGUGACGGUACCUCACGAGAAAGCCCCGGCUAACUACGUG
This 501-nucleotide ribosomal RNA is filed under the name uncultured bacterium. Its description in RNAcentral is "partial 16S ribosomal RNA". It matches the Rfam family "Bacterial small subunit ribosomal RNA", at positions 28 to 507 of the family's 1533-position model. The record is from RNAcentral.